This is a long non-coding RNA of Suricata suricatta (meerkat), 1068 nucleotides long. RefSeq lists it as uncharacterized. The record is from RefSeq and is a predicted model, not a curated record. Lineage: Eukaryota; Metazoa; Chordata; Mammalia; Carnivora; Herpestidae. The transcript has 5 exons.
CUGGUGUGCCAGGCAGAGUCCAAGGAGCACUGUACACCCUCAUGACCACCAGGGACAGCCAAGAACCCACUGCCUGCCUUGUACCCUCAUGUAGCUCAAUCAGAUGUCAUGCCACUGCCAGGCCUACCGCCAACUCAUAGGUGAGUAGGUAUGUGGCAAGGAAGGGUCCCAGGCAGUUUGUCAAAUGUCCCUCCCUCCCCACGAGGACGGUGAUGUGGGAGUCGGGGUCUCAGCACAGCCUUUGCCACUGGCCGAGGAACAAACAGACAGCCUGGGCCAGCUGCUGCCCUGACAGAGGUGGGCAUGGAGGAGGCUCGGUCCUGUAUGUUCCCUUGGGUGCUCACACCAGGAACGGUCCAGGAGAUUCAUGUGGCUCUUUAAGUGAGUUCCCAGAUAGUUUUUGAUUCACUCUGCUCCUUCUCCAAAAGUAUUUGCAAUCAGCUACAGGCCAGAGUGCUUCGUCUUCAAAUGAAAAGGAUUAUCCCCCGAUCCAUGGAUCUGAAAAAGCCCCGCAUGCUGAAGCAUGAAGACAACCUGAUAUGACUCUCAAAGAGCCCAUCACACAACAAAUCAUGUGUGCGCACCUUCAUUCCUGGAGCUGCAUCUGCAUGGGCCACUCAGAAGUCCAUGGGAACUCCCACAUCUUCCAUGUUCUGCUUGGGGAAAUAACCUUGACUGUGACACUGAUGCCUAUACUAUACUGGUAGAGAAUAAGAAGCCAGAGGCACCGUAAGAAUGUCCUGAAGGAAAGGGAUGGAGCAGCAAGGAACUGAAAGCAGUUCCAUUCCCAGGAAUGCCCCUCAUUAAAUGCCUGAUCACUGGCAUCAUCCAGCAAGCGACCUCUACUAAAGAGCCCCUACAGAUGGUUCAACAAAAGGUGAUCAAAUGGAAAAUGGGAUUAUAUUAUUCAGCAGAAAGAACGUCUCUUCUUUCCUUUAACAAGAGGUGGAGACCUGCCAAAGACUCUUUCUUUAACCAAACUCUAUCCAUGCUCCUCUGAGCCUUCUUCUCAACUAGGCCUCAACCUUGGCCUAUAAGACUUGAAUAAACACUAAACAGCGCCUAACA